CAGUUUUACAGCUCUUUUAGAAUUUGUCUAGCAGUUUUCUGUUUUGUGAUGUAAAGGGCCCC
RNAcentral lists this small nuclear RNA (62 nucleotides) under Carlito syrichta (Philippine tarsier). RNAcentral's name for it is "U7 small nuclear RNA (ENSTSYG00000031035.1)". It matches the Rfam family "U7 small nuclear RNA". Rfam says of the family: Animal histone pre-mRNAs are spliced by a different mechanism than nuclear pre-mRNAs and self-splicing introns. The record is from Rfam by way of RNAcentral. Lineage: Eukaryota; Metazoa; Chordata; Mammalia; Primates; Tarsiidae.